This is a long non-coding RNA of Helianthus annuus (common sunflower), 480 nucleotides long. RefSeq lists it as uncharacterized. The transcript is spliced from 3 exons. NCBI's taxonomy places the organism in Eukaryota, Viridiplantae, Streptophyta, Magnoliopsida, Asterales, Asteraceae. The record is from RefSeq and is a predicted model, not a curated record.
GUUUAUUUGAUAAGUUAAAGUUUAUUUAAAAACUUAACUUAGUUAGUUGGAUUUAAUUUCCAUGAUAUAAAAUAAUAAAGGGGUGAAGUUUAAAACUAAAUAAGUAAAGGAAACUUGAGGGACUAAAGUUGUAACAUGUCAAAAAUUAAAGUUAAUUAAAAAUUAAAAAGGAUUAAAAACCCACACACACUCUCUGUGCGUGGGUUCUGGACGAUCGAAGGGAAGACAAGGGUUGAAACCCUAGCAUCAAGAAAUCCAGCAAUUUAGCUUGAACCAAAGGAAAAAUUCGAUGCAUGAUGCCCUAAACUCGAGUAGCUAACCUCAGUUUCCGAAGUGGCACAAAGAAGGAAGAAGGCGCAAGUCACUCGAAGGCAUAAGUAUUUCAAGAUCGCUGUAAAACUCCACUCUAGGCGAUUUGGAGAUUUGGAGCGAGCACGGGCCCAUGCUAUGUUAUACCAAAUGCUUCCGCUAGUUUUUUUU